GUGCCAGCCGCCGCGGUAAGACGAACCGUGCGAACGUUGUUCGGAAUCACUGGGCUUAAAGGGCGCGUAGGCGGCCGCUCAAGUCGGGGGUGAAAUCUUGCCGCUUAACGGCAAAAGAGCUUUCGAUACUGGGCGGCUGGAGGGAGGUAGGGGUGCGCGGAACUUCCGGUGGAGCGGUGAAAUGCGUAGAUAUCGGAAGGAACGCCGGUGGCGAAAGCGGCGCACUGGACCUCCACUGACGCUGAGGCGCGAAAGCCAGGGGAGCAAACGGGAUUAGAUACCCGCGUAGUCC
RNAcentral lists this ribosomal RNA (292 nucleotides) under uncultured bacterium. RNAcentral describes it as "partial 16S ribosomal RNA". It matches the Rfam family "Bacterial small subunit ribosomal RNA", at positions 505 to 796 of the family's 1533-position model. The record is from RNAcentral.